CACCGGCGGCCCGAGUGGUGAUCGUGAUUAUUGGGUCUAAAGGGUCCGUAGCCGGUUUGGUCAGUCCUCCGGGAAAUCUGACAGCUCAACUGUUAGGCUUUCGGGGGAUACUGCCAGACUUGGAACCGGGAGAGGUAAGAGGUACUACAGGGGUAGGAGUGAAAUCUUGUAAUCCCUGUGGGACCACCUGUGGCGAAGGCGUCUUACCAGAACGGGUUCGACGGUGAGGGACGAAAGCUGGGGGCACGAACCGGAUUAGAUACCCGGGUAGUCCCAGCCGUAAACGAUGCUCGCUAGGUGUCAGGCAUGGCGCGACCGUGUCUGGUGCCGCAGGGAAGCCGUGAAGCGAGCCACCUGGGAAGUACGGCCGCAAGGCUGAAACUUAAAGGAAUUGGCGGGGGAGCACAACAACGGGUGGAGCCUGCGGUUUAAUUGGAUUCAACGCCGGA
This 449-nucleotide ribosomal RNA is filed under the name uncultured archaeon. RNAcentral's name for it is "bacterial SSU rRNA". It matches the Rfam family "Archaeal small subunit ribosomal RNA", at positions 474 to 922 of the family's 1478-position model. The record is from RNAcentral.